Molecule: ribosomal RNA, 449 nt
Filed under: uncultured Gordonia sp.
Lineage: Bacteria; Bacillati; Actinomycetota; Actinomycetes; Mycobacteriales; Gordoniaceae
Description: bacterial SSU rRNA
Rfam family: Bacterial small subunit ribosomal RNA
Source: RNAcentral
GUCCUACGGGAGGCAGCAGUGGGGAAUAUUGCACAAUGGGCGCAAGCCUGAUGCAGCGACGCCGCGUGAGGGAUGACGGCCUUCGGGUUGUAAACCUCUUUCAGCAGGGACGAAGCGCAAGUGACGGUACCUGCAGAAGAAGCACCGGCCAACUACGUGCCAGCAGCCGCGGUAAUACGUAGGGUGCGAGCGUUGUCCGGAAUUACUGGGCGUAAAGAGCUCGUAGGCGGUUUGUCGCGUCGUCUGUGAAAUUCUGCAGCUUAACUGCAGGCGUGCAGGCGAUACGGGCAGACUUGAGUACUACAGGGGAGACUGGAAUUCCUGGUGUAGCGGUGAAAUGCGCAGAUAUCAGGAGGAACACCGGUGGCGAAGGCGGGUCUCUGGGUAGUAACUGACGCUGAGGAGCGAAAGCGUGGGUAGCGAACAGGAUUAGAUACCCCGGUAGUCGC